This 393-nucleotide ribosomal RNA is filed under the name uncultured bacterium. RNAcentral's name for it is "bacterial SSU rRNA". It matches the Rfam family "Bacterial small subunit ribosomal RNA", at positions 28 to 433 of the family's 1533-position model. The record is from RNAcentral.
GAUUAACGCUGGCGGCGUGCCUAACACAUGCAAGUCGAACGAGGUAGCAAUACCUAGUGGCAGACGGGUGAGUAACGCGUGGUCAACCUACCGUUGAGUGGGGGAUAACUAGCCGAAAGGUUAGCUAAUACCGCAUACGUCUCCGAGGGGCAUCCCUUGGCGAUAAAAGGAGCAAUCCGCUCGAUGACGGGACCGCGUCCCAUUAGCUAGAUGGUGGGGUAACGGCCUACCAUGGCACCGAUGGGUAGCUGGUUUGAGAGAGCGACCAGCCACACUGGGACUGAGAAGCGGCCCAGACUCCUACGGGAGGCAGCAGUGAGGAAUUUUCCGCAAUGGGCGCAAGCCUGACGGAGCGACGCCGCGUGUGGGAAGAAGGCCUUCGGUCGUAACCAC